Long non-coding RNA from Dalotia coriaria, 558 nucleotides. RefSeq lists it as uncharacterized. The record is from RefSeq and is a predicted model, not a curated record. The transcript is spliced from 2 exons. Lineage: Eukaryota; Metazoa; Arthropoda; Insecta; Coleoptera; Staphylinidae.
UAUGAUUUAGAGCCACGCAAAGCACCGUGGCAAUCGAGCAGGUGCUCCAACACCGACGCAUAAAAGCGCGCUUCUCCGUCGCUCGCUGUCCUGUUGAUUCGCCGAGUGCCACGAAGAUCUCGCCACCUGCCGAAUAUAAAAAAAUCAUCAUGGUUGGAACAAAAGUAAUUGUCUUCACAAGCAUUUUGUGCAUGCUGCUCAUUUCUGAAAUAGAAAUGGUGCCGGUUGACUCAACAGAUGAAUGCAUUUUCAACUGUUAUCAGUGCUACAGCAAAGGCAACUUGGUGGACUGUGCCAAUGACUGUAUUCUAAUGGAGGGCAAUGUCAAUGACUUCUGGGCCAAGUGCAAAUAUUUCGACAGUGAACCAAAAGUGUACAGCAUUUAAUAAUACUUAAUAACUAAACCGAAUCGCCGCCUUAUGUUCUUACCCAACAUGUGUAUUAAACCAGUAUAAUAAAAAUCUUAUUUCUGAACACCCAACAUAGUCUGUCGGAUGUUUGUCAAUAGAAACUUAAAACAUUUCAUUCAAAACUUUAAUAAAAUACUUGUUAUUCUGC